RNAcentral lists this ribosomal RNA (428 nucleotides) under uncultured bacterium. Its description in RNAcentral is "partial 16S ribosomal RNA". It matches the Rfam family "Bacterial small subunit ribosomal RNA", at positions 354 to 796 of the family's 1533-position model. The record is from RNAcentral.
GUGGGGAAUAUUGCACAAUGGGCGAAAGCCUGAUGCAGCAACGCCGCGUGAGGGAAGACGGUUUUCGGAUUGUAAACCUCUGUCUUCGGUGACGAAAAAAAUGACGGUAGCCGAGGAGGAAGCCACGGCUAACUACGUGCCAGCAGCCGCGGUAAUACGUAGGUGGCGAGCGUUGUCCGGAUUUACUGGGUGUAAAGGGAGCGCAGGCGGGGAGACAAGUCAGCGGUGAAAUGCAUAGGCUUAACCUAUGAACUGCCGUUGAAACUGUUUUUCUUGAGUGGAGCAGAGGCAAGCGGAAUUCCGAGUGUAGCGGUGAAAUGCGUAGAUAUUCGGAGGAACACCAGUGGCGAAGGCGGCUUGCUGGCACAAUACUGACGCUCAUGUGCGAAAGCUAGGGCAGCGAACGGGAUUAGAAACCCUUGUAGUCC